GAACGCUAGCGACAGGCUAACACAUGCAAGUCGAGGGGCAGCAUAAAAGUAGCAAUACUUGGUGGCGACCGGCGCACGGGUGAGUAACGCGUAUGCAACCUACCUAUCAGAGGGGAAUAACCCGGCGAAAGUCGGACUAAUACCGCAUAAAACAGGGGCACCGCAUGGUGAUAUUGUUAAAGAAAUUCGCUGAUAGAUGGGCAUGCGUUCCAUUAGGUAGUUGGUGAGGUAACGGCUCACCAAGCCGACGAUGGAUAGGGGAACUGAGAGGUUGGUCCCCCACAUUGGUACUGAGACACGGACCAGACUCCUACGGGAGGCAGCAGUGAGGAAUAUUGGUCAAUGGGCGGGAGCCUGAACCAGCCAAGUCGCGUGAAGGAAGAAGGAUCUAUGGUUCGUAAACUUCUUUGCAGGGGAAUAAAGUGCAGGACGUGUCCUGUUUUGUAUGUACCCUGAGAAUAAGGAUCGGCUAACUCCGUGCCAGCCGCCGC
RNAcentral lists this ribosomal RNA (491 nucleotides) under uncultured bacterium. Its description in RNAcentral is "bacterial SSU rRNA". It matches the Rfam family "Bacterial small subunit ribosomal RNA", at positions 31 to 518 of the family's 1533-position model. The record is from RNAcentral.